AGAGUUUGAUCCUGGCUCAGGAUGAACGCUAGCGGCAGGCUUAAUACAUGCAAGGCGAGGGGGCAGCAAUGUCACCGUCGUACGGGUGCGUAACGCGUAUGCAACCUACCUUCAACUGGGGGAUAGCCCGGGGAAACCCGGAUUAAUACCGCAUAACACAGGGGUACAGCAUUGUACUAUUUGUUAAAGAUUUAUUGGUUGAAGAUGGGCAUGCGUUCGAUUAGCUAGUUGGUGCGGGUAACGGCCCACCAAGGCGACGAUCGAUAGGGGAGCUGAGAGGUUGAUCCCCCACACGGGCACUGAGAUACGGGCCCGACUCCUACGGGAGGCAGCAGUAGGGAAUAUUGGGCAAUGGAUGCAAGUCUGACCCAGCCAUGCCGCGUGCCGGAUGAAGGCCCUCAGGGUUGUAAACGGCUUUUAUUCGGGAAGAAGAGCAGGGAUGCGUCCUUGUGUGACGGUACCGAAUGAAUAAGCACCGGCUAACUCCGUGCCAGCAGCCGCGGUAAUACGGAGGGUGCGAGCGUUGUCCGGAUUUAUUGGGUUUAAAGGGUGCGUAGGUGGCUGUUUAAGUCAGUGGUGAAAUACGGUUGCUCAACAAUCGAGGUGCCAUUGAUACUGAAUAGCUUGAAAUAAUUGGAGGCUGCCGGAAUGGAUGGUGUAGCGGUGAAAUGCAUAGAUAUCAUCCAGAACACCGAUUGCGAAGGCAGGUGGCUACGAUUUGUUUGACACUGAGGCACGAAAGCAUGGGGAGCAAACAGGAUUAGAUACCCUGGUAGUCC
Molecule: ribosomal RNA, 779 nt
Filed under: uncultured bacterium
Lineage: Bacteria
Description: bacterial SSU rRNA
Rfam family: Bacterial small subunit ribosomal RNA
Source: RNAcentral